GCCCUUGUAGCUCAGUGGUAGAGCGUUGCACUUGUAAUGCAAAGGUCCAUUGUUCAAUCCAGUGCGGGGGCA
This is a non-coding RNA of Fusarium poae, 72 nucleotides long. The record is from Rfam. NCBI's taxonomy places the organism in Eukaryota, Fungi, Ascomycota, Sordariomycetes, Hypocreales, Nectriaceae.